RNAcentral lists this ribosomal RNA (476 nucleotides) under uncultured organism. RNAcentral's name for it is "partial 16S ribosomal RNA". It matches the Rfam family "Bacterial small subunit ribosomal RNA", at positions 331 to 798 of the family's 1533-position model. The record is from RNAcentral.
GUACACUCCUGCGGGAGGCAGCAGUGGGGAAUUUUGGACAAUGGGCGAAAGCCUGAUCCAGCAAUGCCGCGUGAGUGAAGAAGGCCUUCGGGUUGUAAAGCUCUUUUGUCAGGGAAGAAACGGUGAAAGCUAAUAUCUUUUGCUAAUGACGGUACCUGAAGAAUAAGCACCGGCUAACUACGUGCCAGCAGCCGCGGUAAUACGUAGGGUGCAAGCGUUAAUCGGAAUUACUGGGCGUAAAGCGUGCGCAGGCGGUUUUGUAAGUCUGAUGUGAAAUCCCCGGGCUCAACCUGGGAAUUGCAUUGGAGACUGCAAGGCUAGAAUCUGGCAGAGGGGGGUAGAAUUCCACGUGUAGCAGUGAAAUGCGUAGAUAUGUGGAGGAACACCGAUGGCGAAGGCAGCCCCCUGGGUCAAGAUUGACGCUCAUGCACGAAAGCGUGGGGAGCAAACAGGAUUAGAAACCCGAGUAGUCCCAU